CAGUCGGCCAGACCUGCUUGGUGCUGCACUUCUGCGUCCUAGAAGACUUGAUCGACUUCUUUUCUGUGAUUUUCCUUCAAAGCAUGAGAGGCUGGAUAUUCUAAAAGUUCUAUCUAGAAAGCUUCCCAUGGCAAGUGAUGUUGAUUUAUAUGCUAUAGCUUCCGUAACUGAUGGAUUUAGUGGUGCUGACCUCCAAGCUGUUUUAUCUGAUGCACAACUUGCAUCCAUUCAUAAACUUCUAGAAAGCAUGAAUGGUCCAGUAAAUGGAAGAGUUCCAAUUAUAGAUAAGAUAACUCAACUUUGAGGGCAGUGGCUUUGAAGGCAAGGCCGUCCGUCUCACAAUCGGAGAGGCAGAGACUCUAUGGGAUCUAUAGUCAGUUCUUGGAGUCUAAAAAAUCUGUUGGUACACAGUCGAGAGAUGCAAAGGGCAAAAGGGAAAAUUUAGCUUGACAGAUCAGCUAUAAGAUUAUUAUCUUGCUUCAUUAGUGUUCUACACUCAGGUAGCGGGACGAUGAAUCCUAUGCUAGAGGUAAGUGUUCCUUGGUAAAUGAAUGCAACAUAAUUUAUUGUCUGAGAUCAUGCAUAUUACAAUCUAGGUGCUGCUGACUCACCUGGUUAGUGGAGGUGCUUGUGCAGUUCUAUAUUUGUGUCCUUAUUCUUCUUUUCCUUGAUGACUAUCAUUGUUCAGGUUCAUUAGCAAGCACUGUCAGCGGCAUGGUACAUAAAAGUGGGCAACGGAAGUUACUGUACACAGAAUAACAUCUAUCUUUUAUUGGUUUUUACACCCUUUGAGGCUAUGUAUCAGCUUGUAUAGUCUAUGUAAGUUAAUGGAAAAGUGUUUUCUGUGCUAAUUGAAAGUGUAUAUAAUUUUUUUUUUUCGUGGAACAAUUGAUUAUGGCAUUGACAAGAAAAACUUGAAGCUUUUACAGCUCCAACCUAUGGGAAAGCUUCCCUUUAUAAGACGCAAUUAAUUUUUCUGAAAGUUAGCUCUCGUUUUUGUCUAGAAA
Molecule: long non-coding RNA, 1007 nt
Organism: Nymphaea colorata (pocket water lily)
Lineage: Eukaryota; Viridiplantae; Streptophyta; Magnoliopsida; Nymphaeales; Nymphaeaceae
Exons: 3
Source: RefSeq, a predicted model, not a curated record